GACGAGAUUAUUUUUCGUUGUAAGCUUUGUUCUCUGCAUUGGCGUAGAGCUUUGGCUGAUGGCAUCUUGUUCUCGGACUAGGAUUCUGUGGCUUGCUCCCCUUCCUUCCAGUAACAUCUCCGUGGACCUGCUGGCUGCGGUUGAGUGUUAAGAGAUUCCUCUGGCUCUAUUCUAGCUUUGUUUUCUGGCCAAAUUGGUGUGCUAGACCAAUGUUGUUGAAAUAUAAUACUAUAUUUGCUUUGGAAAUAUUCUCUAGGACAUAUUGGAAAGAGAAAAAGGUGCUGGUGGUUGAAUCAGAUUCAACCGUAGUUGUGCCUUGGGUGAAGAAGAUUGAGGAUUGCCCUGGGAAUUUGUGUGUUACCUUCAAUUAGAUUGAUCCACUUACUGCUGACAUUGGUGAAGCCUUCUUUGGUACCAUCUGUUGGGAAGUUAAUGGCCUUGCUGACUCUAUAGUGUGUAGAACUGGCAUGUUCAUGGCUUGGUGGUUCAGCAGGCUGUUAUUUUAUCUCCACCCUUUGGGCGCCAUUCUACCAGGCCUGUUAUUAGAGGUUUUAUGGUGUGCAUAUUUUUACGCCUUUGGGUGUUAUUUUAGUCCAGGGAGAUUGCUUGUUAUCUGUUCAUCAACCCAAUAUAUAAGAACCAACUCAAGCCGCCACAAGAAUAGUCAAGCAGUACAUCACAAGAGUCCAUAACUUUACCAGUAAGUUUUUAUAUUUUACACAUUGAUUGCAUGCUUCAUUCGUUAAGAACGAAAGAAACCAAAUGCUACCACAAGAAAGCACCUGGAGAAGCUUGUGUUUGGUUUGCUUGGGAUUAGCUGAUGGAUCCGAAUUAAAGUUAACAGAAAUAAUUUAGAAACUUUCUUCUUUCCCUUUGUAGAAACAUACAUUGGGAGAUGAAAUUGAAUCUAUAUAAGAAUAAAGCUAAUUAAGAGCCUAAGACAACCUUUCCACUCUGCAUCCCUCCUUCCCAACCCAACAACAAAUAGCAAAACUUGCAUGUUGUCAGCCAUAAGAUUAAAGCCUAGAAUUUUCUUCUUUUUUUUUUUGCUAAGCAAAAAUUUUCACUAUUGAAAAUUUAAAGUGUUAAUAAAUAUUAAAAUAUUGAUAAAAUUAUAUUUGAUUAAAUAUAAAUGAUAAUUAUGAACAAAAAUCUAUUAAUUACUCACUUGACUUUACAAAAAAUAAAUACCAAUAAACUCGUUGUUCAUUACUUCUAUACCAUAUGUGAAUAGUCGUCAAAUAGUUGAAUUAAGAUAAAGUAGCAUUAUUCGUUAAAAUUUUUCUCCAUCUCUCUCAUUUUUAUCUCUCUUCAUUUAACUUUUAUGUAUUUAUAUUAAUUUUUUUUAUUUUUAUAUAAAAUCGAGGUUCCAUGGUUUUUAAAACAAAAAGUUAAAAAAAAUCAUGAAAAAUUAUUUUGAAUAUAAAAAAGCAAUAGUAUUAGCUGUUAAAAAAAAAAAGAACAUAAUAUUAAAAUAUUCACAAAAAUAUAAUCCAAUGAAAGGAGACAAAAAGAGUAUGGUAGUCAUAGAUAUCCCUUGUACUCAUCAUCAUCUACAUUAAACAAUUGUACCUUUUAGAAGAAGGUUUUGAUGGUUUAAGAAGUUGAAAAGAGGAGUGAAUAAAAUAGUAUACAAAGAAAUUAAAAAAUUGUCUUAUGUUUGAUUAGAGUCUGUUUAUUGAAAUUAAUAAAUUAUUAUAAUAAUUAAAUAAAUAUGUUAUAUAUAAAAUAAUAAUUUGCCUAAAAAAAAAAAAGAGGACCAACUACUAAAUCAAGUAACAUUUUGUUUUUGUGGUAGUAUUUUGAAGCACAAAAUUGAAGAGGACCAAUAAUUAAAUAAACUUUGAUUGAUUUAUCUGAUAAUAAUGAAAUCUGUGAAUGCAAAAGGCUGAAAUUAAGUAAGGAAAUGCUUCAUUUGAAGGAGAGAGUAAGGAACGCAAAAAGCAAGUAAAACCCAACUCAAUUAUUAAGCUACCCUCACGUACUUCUUUAAGUUUCACACAGCAAAAAUACAUCUCUUUUCCACAUACGCACUUCAAUCUCCAAUCUCCAUUUUUCAUUUCUCUCUUUCUUUCUUGAGCGAAAGGGGAGACUGCUCUCACAGCUUUCUUUGAUGGGCUGUUUGGCAAAUUAUCCUCUCCUGAUUUCCUCAACUUUGUCACCGGAAAGCAGGAGUGCUUUUUAAAUAAUAUCAUGCAUAAUUUUGUUGAUUGUAUAAUUUCAUAUCGGGUUAGAAAAUUUACAAUUUGAAUUAAAUAAGAAUUCGUAAUCGACACAUUGUGUCCAGUACUUUUAUGUGCUUGUUUAUAGAUUACAACUAGGUAGUCAAAUCAUUAAAAUUAACAUUUAUUAAAUGAAGAUAAAAAAAAUAAAUAAGGAUCAUUCAGCCUAACGGAUAUACCUGUUUCAGCUGAGCAUUUCAUGCAUGAAUACUUUUCAUUUUUUAAUGAAAGUAGUAAUACAAUAUUUACAUUGCUCUACAAUUGUUACAUAAAUAAACCAAUAUUUUCAUUGGCAGAAAUAUUACAUUUGGUUAUUUUUCUACAUUUCUAUUUCUUAAUUCUUUUCUUGGAUUAUUAUUCAUUGCAUAGGCAGUAUAUAUAUAUAUAUAUAUUUAAAAUGAAAAUAAUGAACUAUUUAAUUAUUAAAUAAAUAUGUAAAAAUUUUAAACUCACUUGUAGAAUUUAAAAAAAAUUCACUAUCACUUUACAAAAUGAUAAUCUAUUUUUUCAUAAAACCAAACAAACUCAUCACUUUAAUUUUUUCAUUCUCUUUUUUUUUUUUUGCUAUAUUGUUAUACUUGUAGGUUUACUCACAUUUUUCAAGUACUUAAAUUUAUUUAUCAUAUGAAUAAUUUUAAAACAUUUUUUAUUAGAAAAUAAAUAUAGCUAGGGUUUGGGAAAGUAAGAGGCAAGCAGCAUGGUUUAGGAAAGAUAGCAACCAAAAGAAAUAUUAUCGGGUUUAGGGUAUCCUAUGGGUGAUACUCGAAAUCUACUCAAACCCGAAUUGAGUAUUAAAAACCUUAUUCAAAGUUGCUUUAUUACCGAAUAGAGGGUAUCCAAAUCUUUUGUUAUCAAGUCAGAUACUUAUGGAUACUAUAUAAUAGUUACCUGCUACAUCCCUAAGUUAGACUUCACAGUUGCUUUAGGAAACUAUUUGUUGUAUGUGCUUGUACCAAAAGGAAUAAACAAGCUAUUUUACUAUAAAUAACAGUAGGACCACCAUAGCAAAAUAGAAAAUUAAAAAAAAGGAGAAUUGCAAGUAAAUAAAAAAAUUUCCACACACUAACUUUAAAGUUUUAAAAUUAUAUAAACAAAUUAAAAAAUUUUCUUAUGUUUGACUAGAGUAUGUUUAUUGAAAUUAAUAGAUUCUUAUAAUAAUGAAAUAAAAUAUGUGAUAUAUAAAAUGAAAAUUUGCAAAAAAAAGAGGACCUACGAUUAAAUCAAAAUUUGAACCAAAAUGAACCCACCACCACUAGCUUUGGUUAGUGCCCGGUUGACCUUUAUUUUCCGCCACAGUGUAAAUUUUUGGGAAAAAGGCUUACCUUUCGGGUUCUUUUUGGUAACAAGAAGCCUUAACUUUCUUUCCCUUUUGUCUUCUAUUAAUCUAAUUAGAAUCUUUUUUAUUGUACCAAAAAUUCUUCUUUUCACCUUUCCUUUUGCUUUCUCCAAGACCGUGUGGGUUCCAUCCACAAAGAAGAAUUAAUUAACCAAGUACAGAAAGAUAAAAAAGAAAGAAUUUAAAGAGUUAAAUUGAAGAGGACCAAUAAUUAAAUAAAGUUUGAUUGAUUUCUUUGAUAAUAAUGAAAUCUGUUAAUGCCAAAAGGUUGAAAUUAAGUAAGGAAAUGCUUCAUUUGAAGGAGAGAGUAAGGAAAGAAGAAGCAAGGAAAGCCCUGGAAAGAUGUAACAAAAUUAAGAGAGCAAUGAAUGAAGGGAUUAAUGAAUACUUAAAUACUCACCUAAUGAUUUGUGAAUUUGUCUAAUAAAUUUUUAAUUGUUUCCAAAAGGACAGGAAUAGUUGUGGUCAAAUUAUUGGAACACGUAGCCUUGCUCUUUCUUCAACUUGGUUUUGCCUUUAUUCACGGGAGAAACAAAUCCAUUUCGCCCAUGCAUGCAGAACAAGAAUAUGAUUCAAAACACUAACAUGGCUAUACUGACCCACACUACCCGAAAUGGUCCAAUUCCCCAAAAGAAGAAGAAUCUUUUAGAGUUCGAUGACUGCUUUAUUGAAAGUGGGAAUUUGCUUUCGGUGACUCACGGCCAGUUUCUUCCUUGUCUUUUUCCAUCGGUACCGCUGGCUCCAACAAACCACAUGGGGUCAUUCUUCGAAAGAGAAGUCGACGACUCCAAGUCAAUACCCACCUCAAUAAGCUGUUUGGUAAAAAGAACAAGAAUCUUGUAAAGCUCGAUUACUGCUUGAUUGAAAGUAGAAUUUGCUUUGGGUGACUCAUUGCUAGUUUUUUCCUUGUCUUUUUCCAUCACUACCAGUGGCCUCUAAGAAACUACAUGGGGUCUUUCUUCGAAUGAGAAUUCGACGACUCCAAGUCAAUACCUUACUCAAUUGUUAAGCUACCCUCACAAACUCCUUUAACUUUCACACAGCAAAAUACAUCUCUUUUCCACAUACGCACUUCAAUCUCCAUUUUUGAUUUCUCUCUUUCUUUCCUGAGCAAAACAAUCAUGUCUGUUGUUGGGGAGGCCGCUCUCACAGCUUUCUUUGAUGGGUUGUUUGGCAAGUUAUCCUCUUCUGAUUUCCUCAACUUUGUCACUGAAAAGCAGAUCCGCAAGGAGCUCAACGAGUGGGAAAAGAUGCUGCGGGAUAUCCGUGCCGUGCUUGAUGAUGCAGAGGGGAAGCAGAUGAAGGAUCAGUAUGUGAAGAACUGGUUGGCCGAUCUUCAAGACUUGGCUUACGAUGUCGAUGACAUUUUGGACGAGUUUGCCACUGAAGCUUUGAGGCGCAAGCUGACAUCCUUUGAGGAAGGCAUCAAAAAUAAGGUACAAAAGAUCAUUCCUACUCGUUUCUCUCCAAAAACUUUCAUGUUUAAUAAGAAGAUGGUGUCCAAGAUUAAAGAGAUCAGUGCUAGAAUAAAUGAUUUGGCCACAAAAAGAACUCAAUUGGAAUUGCGAGGCAUUAAUGAGGGAUCAAGGUCCGAUAGAAUGAUACAAAGGCUUCAGCCUACUUCUUUGGUGGAUGAAACUCAGGUGUACGGUAGGCAAGAAGAAAAGGCAGCAUUACUUGAAUUGCUUUUGAGCAAUGAUGGCACUGACAAUGAAGCUUCUGUGAUUCCCAUCAUUGGCAUGGGAGGAAUUGGCAAGACAACUCUUGCACAACUUCUCUACAAUGAUACUCGUAUAGAGAAUUCUUUCGAGUACAAGGCAUGGGUAUGCGUUUCUGAAGAUUUUGAUGCCGUUGGCAUAACAAAGAGAAUUCUACGGUCAAUCACUCCUGGUUGUUGUACCGAUGACAAUGAUCUCAAUUUACUUCAAGUCGAGUUGAAGAAGAUGCUGGCCGGGAAAAAGCUUUUGCUUGUCCUGGAUGACAUCUGGAACGAUAAUUAUCUGGAGCUGACCAACCUACUCUCUCCAUUUGGAGUUGGAACCAAAAUUCUCGUCACAACACGGAGUCACGAUGUUUCUUCUAUUAUGGGCACUGUUGAAGCUUACCCACUACAACAGUUAUCAGAGGAGGAUUGUCUAUCUGUAUUUUCUCAGCAUGCAUUAAGAGCAAAUGAUUUUAGUGGGCAUCCUGAAUUAAAAGAAGUUGGGGAAAUUAUAGUGAAAAAGUGCAACGGCUUACCUUUGGCAGCUAAAGCCAUCGGUGGUUUACUACGCACUAGACUGGACUAUGAGGCAUGGAAAGGUAUAUCAGAAAGCGAGAUAUGGGGCAUACCAGAAGAGAAAUGUAGCAUAAUUCCUGCUUUACGAUUGAGCUAUCAUCAUCUUCCUUCACAUUUGAAACGAUGCUUCGGAUAUUGCUCUAUACUCCAUAAGGAUUAUGAAUUCGGGGAGGAGGAGAUAAUCUUGUUAUGGAAAGCAGAAGGUUUUCUACAACCAGCAAGCCCUGGAACUCAACUCGAAGUUCUAGGUAGUCAAUAUUUUCGAGAUCUAGUAUCAAGGUCAUUUUUUCAAACAUCUACUAGGAACAAGUCUCGAUUUGUAAUGCAUGAUCUUGUCAAUGAUCUGGCUCAAGCGGUUGCAAGGGAAAUAUGCUCCAAAUUGGAGAAUGAUAAACAGUUGAGAUUUUCGGAAGGUACUCGACAUUCAUCUUAUGUUUGUGGUGAGUUUGAUGGAAUGAAAAAGUUUGAAGCCUUCAAUCGAACAAAGCAUUUACGAACCUUUCUACCGUUGUCUGGAUCGUCGUGGGCAUGCGAAGGUAAUUGUUAUCUAAGUAACAAUGUUCUCGUUGAUUUGCUGCCCAAACUUCGAUGCUUAAGAGUUCUUUCUUUGAAAGGGUAUCACAUCAUUGAGUUACCAAACUUUUUUCAAAACUUAAUACAUUUGCGCUACUUGGACUUUUCUCAUACUAGAAUUACAAGCUUGCCUGAUUCAACCUGCACCCUUUAUAAUUUAGAAACUUUACUAUUAUAUGGGUGUAGAUUGCUUCAAAAUCUACCCUCAAAUUUACAAAUUCUAGUCAAUUUGCAUGUUCUCGACAUCACUGAUACGUCUUCAAUGAAAGGGAUGCCGUUUGGAAUUGGUAACUUAACCAAUCUUCAAAGAUUAUCUGAUUUUGUUUUAGGCAAAGGUGAUGGAUAUCAUAUACAAGAGAUGAAGAAUUUGUUAAAUCUCAAAGGUAAGCUUUGUAUCUCAGGGUUAGAGAACAUUGUUAAUGCUCAAGAUGCAUGGGAGGCUAAGUUAAUAUAUAAGUCAGGCCUUGGCGCAUUAGAACUAAAGUGGAGCAGAGAAUUUGAUAAUAAUAGAAAUAAAGAAGUUGAAGAAGAGGUGUUGAAUUUGCUUGAACCUCAUAAAAAGCUUGAAGAGCUCUUCAUCCAGGAUUAUGGUGGUACAAAAUUUCCGAUUUGGAUGAAUUUUUCAUUACAAAAUUUGUCGUCUUUGGUUCUCAAGGGUUGUAAAAAUUGUGUAUCACUGCCAUCACUUGGAAAAUUACCGUUACUGAAGAAGCUUUCUAUUGUUGGAAUGGAUGAGUUAAAUAAGGUUGGCAUUGAGUUCUAUGGGGAGAAUCAAUCAAACGCAUUUGCUUCGUUACAGAGUUUGAGCUUUGAGCAUAUGCCAAGAUGGAAGGAAUGGGACUUGGUUGAUGAGCAAGGUGUGAAAUUCCCUAGCCUCGUCGAGCUUUGCAUCAGUGACUGCCCUCAAUUGUUGGGAACGUUGCCUAACCGUCUUCAUUCCUUAAAGAAGCUCGCAAUAAGGUUCUGUAGACAAUUGGUAGUUUCACUUUCAAACCUUCCAAAGCUGUCUAAAUUGCAAAUAUGUGAGUGUGCGGAGUUGGUGCUGAGAGAUGAUGCAGACUUUCUCUCAAUAAAAGAAGUCCGUCUUUCAAACAUUGGAAAGUUUUCUACUCCAACGGAAAGGCUGGUAUCAACAUCAACAACAUUGAAGCAUUGUGAUCUUCCUGAUUGUGAGGGAUUGACAUAUUUAUCGCUAAAGAUGUUGGGACUGUUGGGAUCUGUCCGUAAAUUGGAAAUUUUUGAAUGUCCACAACUUGUGUUGUUAGAGCCAGAUGAGGUAGAGGAGGCAGAAGAGGAGCUGUUUCAAGUUGGGAAUCUUUGCAAUAUUGAAUCUUUGAGAAUAUGGGAAGCUGGUGUCCAGAUGGACUCUUUGAGAAUAAGAAAGCAUUUUCUCCCAUUUCUUACAGAGAUGGAAAUUGAAGAUUGCCCAAACAUAGUUUGUUUUGCAAAGAACAACUUACCCCCGCUUUUGAAAAAGUUGGAGAUUGCAAAUUGCAAGAAUUUGCGAUGUUUGGUGGAUGAAGGAGAAAAUAUAAGCAUCACUAACAUAUCUCUUCUUGAGCAUUUGAAUAUUAUUCGCUGUCCAUCUCUAAUAUCAUUAUCAUUACCUGUUAAGCUUCGACGUCUUUAUCUUCGGGGUUGCUUAAAGCUAGCUUCCUUAUCAGAAAGUGGCAAGUUACCCAUAGGGCUUAAAGGGCUUUACCUUUCUUUCUGCCCAGAGCUCGAAUCCAUUGCAGAAGUAAUUGACGAAAAUGCUUGUCUUGAAUCUAUUAGCUUCUGCAAUUGUGGUAUUAAAUCUUUACCGCAAGGAUUAGACAAGCUCAACCAUCUUCGGAGUAUUGAAAUAAAUAGAUGUUCAAAUCUAGUCUCGUUGGAAGGGUUUUUGCCCACCACCAAUUUGACUAACCUUUGGAUCUCUGAAUGUGAAAAUUUGCGAGCCCUGCCCAAUUGCAUGCCCAACCUCACGUCUCUUCGAGAAUUGACGGUUUGGAAUAAGUCAGGUGAUCAGAUAUCCAUUCCAGAAGAGGGUAUCUCUGCCAACCUCACAUCACUUAAAAUCUCAGUACCAAGAAAUUAUGAGUCUCUAAUUAAGUGGGGAUUGCAUAGACUCACCUCUCUUAAAACACUUGAUAUUUCUGGGAGAGGAUGUCCGAAUAUGGUGGCGUUCCCACCAGAGGAGAUAGGAAUGAUGCUGCCUCCCGCUCUCAUGAAAUUGAGCAUUAAAAAUUUCAAAAAUUUGAAAUGCCUAUCCUCCAAAGGCUUUCGAAACCUAACCUCUCUUCAUCAUUUGUCCAUCUCCUCUUGCCCUAAGCUCACAUUUCUUCCUGAAAAAGACAUGCUUCUCUCACUUUUGAAGUUAUGCAUUGGAGAUUGUCCAUUGCUAGAGGAAAAGUGCAAAAGGGGCAAAGGACGAGAGUGGUCCAAGAUAGCCCACUUACCUUGCAUUAAAAUUGAUGUGUGAUAGUAAAGCGAAAGUCACAGGUAUGAAACCAUUUGAAACCUACGAUAAUUUAGAAGCUUCUUAUUUUUAACAACAAAAUGAAACUAAUUAUACCUUUUUUUGUCAAUGAUUAUUUGCAGGCAGUUUAAAAGCUUUAGAAGGAAACUUGGUGGGAAACUAGGCUUCCCACCUUUUCAUCUAAAUGGCAGAAUCAGUGUGUAAUUAAUUGUUGGUUAGUAGACUCAAGCACAUACAACUCCAACAGUCUACAGGACCCAACUGCUUUUUCUUCAACUUCAUCAUUGAUUUCGUUUUUUUUUUUCAGACAUAUGAAAAUGCUGCAGAGGCUGACGAAUGGAGCGGUUAGUUAAUUCUCUGCAACCUUCAUCUACAUUUUUAGGGUUUGAUAACGAUUUGAUAUUCUAAUAAAAUACUAUUGAGUUUUCUUCAUUUCUAUUAUGAUGAAUUUGCUGUAUUUUUUACAAUUUCAAACUAUGCCAAUUAUACUUUACUUGCCUAUACCUAGAGUACAUCCUUCACUUUAUUCUUUUAAUUUCACAUCAUUCUCAUUUGAUCUUUGUGUAACAAUUUCUCAUACUCCAAUCUAUCUUACUUUUCUUAAUUUUUUGGAGGAACUGCUUUAUAAAGAAAAGAACUGAAAACAGAGGAAAGGAAUGUAAGAUUGGAUAUAUGUAGGUUAGAUGCUGCAUUUAAUUCGGUAACAAACUUUAAUUUUCUGCAUGUCUUAUGCUUGUGUGAAUAACAUAUUACUAAUUAUCUGGACAGAAAAGGAAAUAGGUAUUAGAUCUCACAAGGAAACUUGGAAAAAAUUCAGUGAAUAGAUAUACAACGUCCUAUUCAAAUAGUUGAUUAAAUUUUGAAUGAUAAUGAAGUGUUCAUUAAUUGUACAGGCAGAAACCUGAACAAGAAUCUGAAUAAGGGAAGAAUGAAUUCUGGCCUUCAAAGGUAAUUUGUUGACCUAAUAAUCAAUACAAUUAAACGGUGGCAUGCCAUUAGGCAACAAUGAGACAAUCCUUCCUAAGCAAACCAUUUUAUGUAUCACUUUUAAAAGUUUGAGUUGGAACUCUCUCUAACCUUCAUUCUCAACUUCCAGAUAAUCUAGGCACUUAGGGAUGCGUUUGAUGUGCACUUAAAAAGAAGGAUAGGAUUGCAAAUAGAAAUUUUAGAACUGGUGAAGUGGUCAUUGUUGCAUGCCAGUGAAAAACAAAACUUUACCUGACUUCUUAUGCACCCUUUGCAAUUUAGACACCUUGCUAUUAAAGCAAUGUCACGAGUUAGAAAAGUCAACCUGAAAAAUAGAAAUUCUAGUCAAAUUGCAUCAUCUUGACAUUAGUCAUACAAAUUCAGUGAAAGCAAUGCCCUUUGGAAUUGGUAGACUAACCAAUCUUUAAAAACUGUCUUAUUUUGUUUUGGGUGAAGGUGGUGGAUAUCAGAUAUGAGAGAUGAAGAAUUUGCGGAAUCUCAAGGGUGAGAUUUCUAUUUUAGGGUUGCAGAGCAUUGUUAAAGCUCAAGAUGCAUGAGAAGCUAAAUUGAUUGAUACUUGGGCCUCAAUGAGUUAGAAGUGGAUUGCAACUUUUGACAACAAUGCAAGAAAUAGAGAAGUUGAAGAAGUGGUGUUGAACUCGUUGAAUUAUGGCUGUCUUUGCUGCAUUGCUGCCACAGGGGAUUAGUUUCUACACAUUUGGAAACCAGCUUGGUUGGAUUUAGGGUCAGUUUACUUUUUGCUCACCAAAUGUUUGAUUAUUUCUUUGGUCAUUUGUACACUUGCCAGUUUGUGUUUCUUAGUUAUAUUUGACUUUUGGAAUCUGUCACCAUGCCUUCUAAUGACAGUUUGUGCAGCAUUAGUUGAAAUAUUUUAUGUUUAGUCUAUUUUUAGAAGCAAUGUAUCAGAUAGUGUGAUCAGUUGAAGAUAUUUUUGUUCACUCUCUUGAUUAUAUAAAUAUGUAUUCUCCUAAUGAAAAGUGAUGUAUGAAGAGUUGAAGUUCUGGCCUUUUUUGAGUUUUGUUUUUCCUCUUUGUUUUUCCAGCAAACUUUGGUCUCUUCAUCGAGAGUUUAGUAUGCAGAUCUUUAAGUUUUUUUUAUCCAGCAGAAACCAAGGAUAACAUUUCUUUUAUCUGUAUCUGCCCAUACUCAAUACCAAGGAUAACACUUGUUUUUCUCUGUCUGUCUGUCCGCACAAAACCAAGAAUAACACCUUAUUUCCUUGGUACAAACUCUUUCAAAUUUACAACAGCAGAAACAAAAGGUUUUUGCUUCUGCCUUCAGCUGCUACUCCUUGGGUAGCCUUGGACAAGUAAUGUGAGUAGCCACUAAAGCCAAGAGAACUGUUAGAAAAGUGAUCUUUAUUUGGUUGAUGAAAAGCUGAGUUGGUUGUUGAGGAGGAGAAAACCAGAUGGCGGGUUGCAACGGUAACUUGAAGUUCUGAAGUAGCUGUUGGCGUCAAAACGCAGUAAGCAGGAGUUGUUUUUUACUUUACUGAAUUUUUUGUUAAUGAAACGUUGCAGGAGUGUGUCGUUUUACUUAGUCUUCUGUUAUGCCGUUACUCAUACGAUGUCGUUUAGUAUUUCUUGUAAGGCUUUAAGCCAAGUUUGGUUCAGUUUGUUUUUCUGUUGCUUGGCACUGGUUUUCAUGGUGAAUGCUGAGCCAAGUUUUAGGCUCAAUUCAUUUGUUUGAAAAUCGUUGCUACAUUUUAGGAUCCAGAAAGUUUGAAUUUUAAAAUUCCUCAUAUAAAUACUGAAAAAUGUAUUGAGCGGGUGGUUAAAUUCCAGAAUAUUUUUCUACUCUGUUCGGAAAAGCUUAUUCUUCUCUUUUCUCUGCUGUUUCUUCCUUAAUUCUCUGGAAUUCCUAAACACUUAGUAAUUCUAGCAAGAACUUUCUUGGUCGUCAUAAAGAGCUAAAAGAAGCUCACCAUAAAAAAUUAUGGGACUACCAAAUUUCCAGCUUGGAUAGUAAAUUCUUCAUUACAAAAUUUAUUGUCCUUGAAUCUCAUGAAUUGUAAAAUUGCAGAUCAUACCGGCAAUUAGAAAAUGAUCACUGUUGGAAUCUCUUUGCAUUGAAGGAAUGGUUAGGGUGAAUAACAUUUGUGAAGCAAUUGGGAUCGCUUGGGAGCCUAAUGUCUGUCCCUUGGCUGAGAAUUUUGCAUUGUUCACAACUUGUACUUGUAUCAUUAGAGCCAGAGGAAGCAGAAGAGGAGUAUUUGCAACUCGACAGGCUUUGCAAGUUUGAAUGCCUAACAAUUACGAAAUGUGAAUGACUUCAAAGGCUACCAAAGGUCUCGCAUUUGGUCAUGUUCCUUGCAGAUAUACAGAUUGCCAGUGCCCAAGAAUGGUUUCUGUUUUAACGAAUGACCUACCUCCGACUUGAAGAAGAUUGACGAUUGAAGAUUGCAAGAAUUUACCAUGUUUGGUGGAUGAAGAAGAAGAUACUAGCAGAACUUCACCUCUCUCAAGGCAUUGACGUUGGUUGGCUGUUCAGCUGACAUAUCCUUUCUAGAAUAGGUUUUCCCUACCAACUUAGCAUCACUUGACAUCACAGCACCUGCAUAGACUCAGCUUUCUAAAAAACUGUCUAUUAAUGGUGAAGAAUGUCUAGAAGUGGUUUUGUUUCCACAAUAGGAGAUAGGAAUGAUACUGCCUCCCCCUCUCAGCGAUAUCACCAUAAUUUUGAAAACCUGAAAUAUCUAUUCUCCAAGGGCUUUCAAAGCCUCCCCAUCUGGUAGUCUUCAGAGAUCAGUGAUUUCUCUAAGCUCACAUCUCUUCCAUUAAGAGACAUGCUUCUCUUGCUUGGUCAUCUUCAGAUUGAUGAUUGUCCUUUGCUAGAAGAACGAUGCAAAAGGGAUAAAGGACAUAUCUUAUGUUCAAAUCAAUAAUGAACAAAAUUAUCCCAAAGAAGUUGAAAUCUCGAAAUUGAAAGCAAAAGGUAUUAAACCAUUUCAAAGAUAGGCCAGAUAAUUGAAUUCUGAUUAUCGUUCAUUUAAUUUUUGUUAGAUAUAUAACAUAAUAGUCAUUUUGAUAUGUUAUUGUUGAUAAUUAAUUUACAGCCACAUUUCAGGAUUGAAAGCUACAAAGUGUAGUUGGUAUAUAUAGCUCCAUUCAAAGAUCAGGUACAAGCUUCUCAUUUUUUUCCUAUUUCACUUGCAAUUAAACAUAGCAUGCUCAUCAAUCUGCAACAUUUAACCAUUAAAACACUUAUGCUUCUCUAACUUCAGAUAUCUCAAAAAACCUCUUGCCGUGAAUUUGCUGAUUCGUCAUUUAGACUUAUGAAACUGUUAAAAAGAUCAAGGAUGAAGGUGAGUUGAUUUUCCGCUGCUUUUAUAUGUCAUGUACAUUCCCAUUAAAAGAAAUGUCAUGUACAUUAAAGAAUGGAAAAGUGAUUGUUAGAGUACAUAAGCAGUUUCAUGGACAAAAUUGGGUUUUAAUUUGGUAAAUUACAUAUAUACUUGCCUUGUGAAAUUGUUAGUUGUUUAUACAGAAGCAUAUUUGUUUUGAUUUCAAGAGAUUUCCAUUUUGUUAAAGAAAAUCCAAGUCUCUCUUUCCUUUUCUAUGUUAUCAACUUUCUUUAUACCAUGCCAAUUAUGCUUCCCUUGAGUAUGUUGAACAGUGAACUAAUUUCUUUUCUUUUAGUAUUAUAAUGUUCUUGUAUUUAGUUUUUUGCUUUCUGAGUUCGUAGAGACAAUGUAGAGGAAGCAAAUAAAUUUCAUCCAUAAAAUUCUAAUGUUGUAUUGGAUUUUCCAUCUUAGAGGAGUGUGUCCCCACCAACUGAAUGUUACUUUGGAUCUCUGCUGCUAAAAUCUGUAUACCAUUAUUACAUCGGGGAGUGCGUAUACAAAUCUGUCAUGGACAACUUCCCAUUGGUGGUACUGAUGCAGCCGACCAACUUUCAAACUUUCCUUGUCAUCGGGAAGUUCCCAAUUUGGAAUAGUAGCACUACAAGAGCUUUCAGAACCUCUCCUUGCUCAAAGGUUUUUAUGCUUAAUUGCCUUGAUCUAUAAAAAAAAAGGGAUAAAAAAUGAAGUGGGUAAAGAUAUCUCCUGUGCCUCAUGUAUUAAUAACAGAUUACUUAUUAGUUAGAACAGGAACAGUGAAAACUAGUUGUUUUUCAUAGAAAAGGAGCGAAAAAGGCAGAACAAAUAUUGCUCGUAAAUUCAAUCCUUGUUAUGUCAAUGAGAAAAUCUUUUCUCCUUUUCCUCUUUGAACAAUUAAUUAAAACUUGUAUGAUCACCAAGUGUUGAUUUUCUUGUACAUACAGAAGUCUGAACAUGAUUAGGAAACACUGAGGAUGAAUUCAGCAUCCAGUUGUAAUCUAUUGGCCAUAAAAUCAAUGCAAUGCAGAGGUGAGCUUUUAUAUAUUGGACUACAUUAAGAUAAUAUGCCUCACCAAUGGAAACAAUCCCUCCUUCUAAAUGAUCUAUGCCUGUAUAAUUCUAUUUUUGUAUUCAAUUUCCAUUAGCAGUCACAUAUUAAUGUUUCCACACCCGCUGAAUAUUACUUAUUAGCCACAGAAGGGAAAAAGGGUGAAAAUUAUAGAAACUACCAUGCUUGUAGAUAUAUGGUAUGUCAAUUGGAAAAUCCUCCCUUUCUUUUUGCACUGUGAUCAUAGUUAAUUAAAGUUUAUAUAUUAACCAAGUAUUAGUCUAGUUGUACAUGCAGAAAUCUGAGCAUUAGUAGAAAGAACCAAUGAUGAAAUUUAACCUCCAGUUGUAAUCUAUUGACUAUAUAAUCAAUUCAAAGCAAAGGUGAGCUUUUAUUAGGCUACCUUAAGAUAAUAUGCCUCACCAAUGGAACAUCCCUUAUGCUAAAUAAUCUUAUGCAUAUCAAUUCCAAAGUUUCAGGUUGGAGCUAUUAGUUACUCAUCUUCAUUCUCAAAACUGUGACCCUCAUUCACAAUAGGUUUAAGCAGAUGAUCCCUGAUUGAAACUAAAUCGCAUUUCUCAAGUAUUGUGUAGAAUUAUUUUUUCACACCAGAACUGUUUUACAACUUGGCACACAGAGAUGCAAAGAGCUCAUGUAACAGCUUCCAUGGCUCUUCAUGCCCCACUUUUUCUGCUUCUAAUAUUAAACAUUUACCAUACCCUGCAUGUUGGUUCUUCAGCCUUCAGCACUCAUCUCUCUUUGUCAAUCCCAGUGAAUCUUCAAUGCCUCCACAUGAAGCAAAAUGUGUCACUAGUGGCAGCACCCGGUAACAUACAUCGUUGCAACAUGUCACCACCAAAAGAGCGAUUGAUGUCAUUGACAGUCAAGGUUUUCUUUUCUAAUACUAUGAAUCAGUUGGGUAAGAGUAAGUUUUUAGAAAAUUUGCUUCAUUUAUCAUUUCUCUUUGCAAAAAAACUUGUUAAAAUUCAUCAGUAGUAUCAUGACUAAUAGAUUCACACCGAUCCUGUAAUAAAUUUCAUAGAUAGACUUUGUAAUGUGCCAUACACUAGUUGAGCUUUCAGUUUUCUUUUUUCUUUUUCAUUAUUAUGCUCUUUAAAGUUUGUAUACUAUUGCAUUGGACCUUCAGAAAGGAUUAAUUUUCUUGUGCUUUUGAAUUGAGAUUAUGAGAUGUAUAAUAGAUUCAAGCUAAAUGUUAAUCUCUUUUUCCUACUCUUCCUCCUUUCUCCGUGUCCUCUUCUUUGGCAAAUAAAGAGAUCCACCAGAGUUCAAUACAAGAAAGGAACUGAAAAUUUUUAUGGCUUUCCUCUGAUGAUGUUAAGCCAUAAGCUUCCACCCAUUGCAGCAUGAGCAGGCCUUAAAUCUUCUUUUCUUGCUGAUAGCAAUCUAACUUCUCUGUUACUUGACUGUGGCCAUGCUUAAAAUUUCUGCAGAUGAAAACACAUUUUUUCCUUUUGUUGGAUAUGUGCAGUGCAUGCCUUCAUUUUUUCAGAAGGUGUUUGUCUUUGUUAUCAAUUGGGCCAAAAAGGAGUGUUACAAUGGUAGACGAUAGUUUUUACACAAGAGUUCUACCAAUGUUUUUCUCUGUUGGUGCCUCAUCCUUAGUUCCUUGUAAGUCUCACGAAUGGCUGGGAAUAGGUAUGUUGUUUUAUUGUUUUUUGACUAAAAUUGCAACUCGAUGUCAUAGCCUUGCCCCUGAGAUAGAAUGUUACACAAGGGUUCCACAUUCUGAAGCCAUCCUUUUGUGAAACUUCAUGCGCAGCAUCAACGGUGCAUAAAAGAUAUUAAAAAAUAUAAAUAGGGUCACAAACUCCGACAUUUUGAAGCCCUUUUUCUUCUAGUGCAUGCCAGAACCAAAGAAGCUGAAGAUCAAGUUUCCUACUAGUUUAGUGUCAAUUUUUUAUGUUAAUAGUUAUUCUGUUUUUUCUUCUUGGUAUUUUGCAUACAUUCAUUAUUAUUGACAAUUUAUUAUUGGGAAUUACUCAUGUGUGUUCUGGCUGUUUUCAUAAUAGCUCCAGCUUCCAAAAUGUGAAAUUGAAAAGCAAACUGCUUCAAAUUGUUCGUAUUUGCAGUUUUGUAAAACUUCUUUUUUCUUUUAAUUCCUUUUGUGCUUCAGCAUUUAUAGGUUCUUUUGGCUGUUUUGAAUGGGACUGAGCUGAUGGAGGCUGUCAUAAUGAUAUACCUAUUGAGGAGAUCAAAGCCAAUGUGGCAGGAUUCUGUCAAGAAGAGGCUUUGCUUCGAUGCCUGUGACAGUGCCAAGAUUGUUGCUGAUGCUGUUAUCUCUGAUUUCAAUGAAGUCCUGGAGGCUGUAAGUGCCUCUCUCUAUUUUCAUGUUACUUGUGUUUCUAAUCCCAUUUUUUGUUGUUUGAGCUUGGGAUUUACUUCUUUUAUAGUUUUCCUUUAAUUAUGUUGGUAAAACAGUUCCUUUUUUAUGUUUCAUAGCUCUUUUCUUUCUUAUUUUGCUUGAAUUUGAAAUUUAGACCGAUGGAUUUUUUCAACCUGAUAUUUUUUUGUGAAAGAAAUGUCAAUAUUAUAUAAAGAAAAUAGGAUUUGAAAGUUUGCAUCAUGAACAUGGAUAACGGAUGUGGGCAUGAUAACUUGUCAAGUCACCAUUAUAAAAUUCUUGAAAACAUCGUGAUUUGUGACCAGGCUGCCAUUGUUGGGAUUUUUGUUAUUGUGGAUUAUGGUGAUGAUUAAAGUCAUAACUAUGGCAAUUUUUUCCAUUAGGUUGCUCGUUAUCCAUCAUUUUAUGGAGCAAUUGAUGGGUUGUGCAACAACUACUGAGGCAAGACUAAAGCAGAAUGGAUUGUUGUGACAAAUUAUUGACCUGGCACUAACGUGGAGUUUUCUGCAGCACUAAUUCAUGGGAUAUAAAACACUGAUGAAGUCUCUAGGCCACUUGUACCUACUUUCACUGCAUUAUUUUUCUUAUACAUUCUUUUGGGGAAAUGAAAAGGGGGUGAGAGGGGGGAUGCUAAUUGGUAUAUCAAUAAAGUUUAUCACUGUUUGCUACAGGAUACUUAUUUGCGUUCAGGUGAUGCGUCCUAACCAGGUAAUGGGUAUGCAAUCAGGGAGCUAAUCUCUACGAUCCAAACACAGAAAUUCAAUUAUAGCCAACUGGUGAGAUUUUUGCUUUGCUUUAUGAUUUUUACUUGAACGUUUCAUAUAUAGUUCACAUAUCUGUCUUAUUUCUAAAACUUGUCUCCAAGUAUAUUUACUUGCAUCUAGAUAAUAUCAGCAGAAUUUUAGAACUCAUCUGAGUUUCAAAAUGUACUAGUUUUAACUGUGUCUUACUGUAUGCAACAAAUAAUAAGAUAACAUAAUGGGGGAUUCUUGGAAAAGUGAAGUAUCCUUUAGAUAUAUUUAUUAUUAUUUGAUGACAAAUGUCUGAAAAGAUUUGAUUUUAUUUACUUUUUGUUUAUAGGUCCUGAGAAAGGGAAAUGAGUGCCAAUAGUAAAAUUACCAAAAGAUAUUUGCAGAACCUGAGGUCUCUCAAUCGGCAAGGUAGGCAGCACCUCAUUCAGUUCCCUAUCUAAAUAUAACUGUUAAUUAAAUUUUAAUUUUAAUGCUUGAAAAUGCAGGAUGAUAAGAAGUUACUGACCUUUCUUGGGAUGUAGACUGAAUUCUGCUUUGGGUUUGUAGGGAUCAUUUGUGUGUUCAUCACUGCUACUGCCACCACUGCUGCUGCUACUUUCCCUUUUUUUUCUUAGGUUACUCAGGUCUCUCUUAUUUUCCUAUUUAAUGUAAUUAUAUGUAAUCGAUGCAUUACAUCAUAAGUCCAGGAAGAGUCAUGUCUAAACUGUAACCACAACAAUAUUCUGAUUAUGGCAGGUUCAUAUACUUAGGCAUGCCUCUUUCGCCUGAACACUGUUUAGGACCCUGGUGUCAAGAGGUUGAGGAGGAUGGCAAUCAUUUUCUAUAUUUAUGUCAAUGUUCUUGGAGUUCCGGAGCAAGUUACUUUCUCCGACGAUGCUAUUUUGGUCUCAUCCCCUUUGCAUCAAAUUCCUCUUGCAAUGCUUCAGAGCCUUUUCUGGAUUACUCAGGUGGUUUGCUUCCUAUUCUGCUGCUUCUCCAUGGCUAGUAAGAUAUGAGGUUGGCUUUAAUGAGAAAAGGUGGUGGGUGAAUGAGAUUAUUUUUCUUAAUAAGCUUUGUUCUCUACAUUGGCUUAGAGCUUUGGCUGAUGGCAUCUUGUUUUUGGACUAAGAUUCUGUAGCUUUAAGGAGACUUGGUGAAGUCUCCUUUGGUAAAAUCUGUUGGGAUGUUAAUGGCCUUGCUGACUCUUUAGUGUAUAGAACUGAUAUGUUAAUGGCUUGGUGGUUAUACUCAGUCGCUCUGAUAUUUGGUGCAAGUUUUUCGGGAGGCUGUUAAAUUAUCUCCACCCUUUGGGCACCAUUGUACUAGGCCUGUUAUUAGAGCUUUUAUGGUGUGUACAUUUUUACUCUUUUGGGUGUUAUUUUAGUCCGGUGAGACUGCUUCUUAUCCGUGUCCCAGGUGUUGUAUUUUUUCUUUCAGCUUUCAGUAACAUCUAACCACAACAGAGAUGCAAAAUUGGUGUAGCAAACCAUUGUUUGAAGCAUGUUGCCCUGUCAAAUUUAUCAUCUGUUGAUUGCCAAUGGCAUACAGAAGAAUUGAACAGUUAUUUGAUAAAUAAGAUUCAAUGUUUGUAUUCUUGGAUAUUUGGAACUGUAUGUGCAGGGUUGAAGGACCAACCGACAAUGACCAGAGCUUUAUUUAACAAAAAGAAUACCAAAUAAUUGUCUCUAGAGUGGUUAGUAAGGAUAUUAUAGUUGUUGUCCCAGUGGUCACAAAAACUGAGUCCUUCAUGAAGGAAAAUUGAUGGUGGAUAAGGCAAUUUAUGGGUGGUGCCAAACAAAUUGUUCAGAGGAUCUAAUCUAACAACAAUAAUCCAAUAUAUAAGAACAAGUCCUGCUGCCACAAGAAUAAUGUGUAGAGUACAUCACAAGAGUCCAGUUAUUAAGUUUUUAUGUUUUACACACUGAUUGCAUGCUUCAUUCCUUAAGAACGAGAGAAACCAAGAACAUGUAGCGGGCUAACAGCUCCAAAUGCUUACUCAAGAAAGCACUUGGAAAGCCUUCUCUCUGCCUCUUUAGAUGCAUUAGGCACAUUUUUACAAGGCAGUAAGUGUCUUUUUACUAUUACCUUUGGUUAGAUGGAGGUUCUUAUUCUCAUUUGCAUGACGGUGUUUUAUAGUUCCAGGAAAUACCAGUUCAUAAAGGUUUAACAGAAAUAAUUUAGAAACUUUCUUCUUUCCCGUUUUAGAAAGAGUGGGAGAUGCAAUUGAAGUUAUAUAAGAAUAAAGCUACGAGCCUAAGGCAACCUCUCCAUUCUGCAGCCCGCCUCCUUCCCAACCCAACAACAAAUAGUAAAACUUGAACGUUAAACUGAUCUUCCUCUUGCUUUGAAGUGCAGAUCUUCUGAUAGUCCUUUUCAUGAACUUGCCACUGUAGGAUCAAGUACUUAUAGGCACUAUGUCACAGGAUUUAUAGCCCAAACUAGAAUUUUCACUCCUUUUUUUUUUUUGGGUCGAGUUCUCACACCAGUUGGGUUCCUGGCCACAAGUUUAACAGUAUCUAGAAUAAACCGUACCAUAUCUGUCAGCCAUAAGGUUAAGGCCUAGAAUUUUCGCUUAUAGUAUACAUGCUCAAUUUUGUUUUUAACGUGUUAAUAAACUUAAGACAUAACAAAUCAACCUUCAUUUCGUCUUAAAACCAAUUCAGCAAUCAUCUCUUAUGGUAUGAUGUAUAAUUAAUGUACCAUGCCAUUGCAGAACUUGGAACACCUCUUCCUGAGGAUGCUUCCACUGUCACUGAUCAACCUUCAAUGUUGAUACUUGAUAAGCGCUGGAAAUGGUGGGUUCUUGUGGUAAUCAGCAUCGCCUAUCCCUUGCUUGGUCAGUCCAAACAAACAAAUUCUAUUUCAAUCAUGUUAUAAUAAACACUUCAACUUAAUCAAUAAUGGAGUCAACUAUUUUAUAAAAUUCGUAAUAAUUAAUCAAUGUUAUAUUUUGACGAGAUUUCGAUAAUAUCUUAAUAAAUUUUUAUUCGAUUAAACUUAAAUUUAUUGAAGAUUUCUAAUCAAGCUUUUUACAGAAAAUAUUAAAUGAAUGUCUCAUGAAUCAUGAUGAAACUAAUUAAUAAGUGAUUGGUAUGAUGAAGUUGUAAUUUCGUUCGUUUUUUUCUUUAAAUUUGUUUUUGGGUGAUAUCAAGUUUUUGAUAGUUUUAAUAGCUAAGUUAUAUAGCUUGCACUUUUCAUUAAUUAUAACUUGCCUUUGUUGAAGGAGUUUUCUUUUCUUUAUUUGAAAAAAAGUUUGAGAAAUUAUUGAACAUAAACUAUUUUAGCGCCAUAUUUUUUAAUUUAUUUAAAAAAUUGUCAAAUAUAAAUAGUAAAAGGAUAUUUCACUAAAAAAAUAAAGGUACAUUUUACAAAAUACUUUAAUUUGACUAUUUUUAAACUAAAUUUAAAAUAUUGAUAAAAUUAUAUUUGUUUAAAUAUGAAUAGUAAUUAUCAGCAAAAAUCUAUUAAUUACUCACUCGACUUACAAUUGCGGUAGUCCACAAAACCUAAACAUGAAAAUUUUAUCAUAUGCUAAUAACAUCAUAAUGUUUUGGAUGAUGCAAAUAUAUUGUUUAACAUCAUAAUGUCAACACAUUUAUUAUAAUUCUAUUAAUUAGGUAUUUGUUUAUUGCCAAAUAUUUCUUCUAUUAGGUUUGCUUGUACAGUCCAUUGGUAUUUAAUUUUUUGGAAUUUAAAAUAUAUUCUUUUAAACUGUCUUAUAAAUCGAUUGUCAUAUUUUCUUACAAAAAAUAAAUAUUAAUAAAAUGUUGUUCAUUAUUUCCAUACUAUUUGUGAAUAGUAGUCAAAUAGUUAAAAUCAAAUAAAGUAGCAUUAUUUUUUAAAAAACAAAAUUCGCAAAUGAUGGAACUUGAUUUUGAAGCCAAAAGAUUUUAAAAUAUCUUUCUAUGACAAAGACUAAAACUCAUUCACUUAUAUAUUCUAUUUUAAUUUGCAGUAGGAUAUAAAAAAAUUCCUUAUUACUAUAACCACUCAAAAAUGUGAAUUUUUUUUUAGAAUUGAAAAAAAUGAAUUUAAACUUUACACUUUAAAUAAAGAGAUCAUAUACCAAUCAAUUAACAAAAUACCUGAGUACAAAAAAAAUGUGAUUAAUAUACCUAACAUUUCUUUAUGAAACUAUUUGCAGUAUAUACUUAUACCAACAGGAAGGAAUUUUUUUUAGAAAAAAGAAUCCCAAAAGAAAAUUCACAAUUAUUCUACAUACUAACAUUAAAGUUUUUAAACUAUACAAAGAAAUUAAAAAAUUGUCUAAUGUUUGAUUAGAGUAUGUUUAUUGAAAUUAAUAAAUUGUUAUAAUAACUAAAUAAAUAUGUUAUAUAUAAAAUAAUAAUUUGCCAAAAAAAAGAGGACCUACUAUUAAAUCAAAAUUUGAACCAAAAUGAACCCACCCCACUAGCUUGGUUAAUGCCCAUUUACCUUUAUUUUCCAUGGCAGUCUAAAUUUUUGGCAAAAAGGCUUACCUUUCACGUUAUCUCUUUGAUUGUACCAAAGAUUAAUUUUUUUAAUGUUUCCUUUGGCAUUCUCCAAAACCAUGCGGGUUCCAUCCACGGAGAAGAAUUACUUAACCAAGUAAAAAAAAAAUGAAAGAAAGAUAUUUAAAGAAAUUUUGAUAAAAUAAAAUAAAUUGCAAAUAUCAUUUUAUUUUGUUGAAGUAUUUUGAAGCACAAAAUUGAGAAAGACCAAUAAUUAAAUAAGCUUUGAUUGAUUUAUUUGAUAAUAAUGAAAUCUGUGAAUGCAAAAGGCUAAAAUUAAGUACGGAAAUGCUUCAUUUGAAGGACAGAGUAAGGAAAGAAGAAGCGAGUAAAACCAUGGAAAGAUAUAGUAAAAUUAAGAGAGCAACGAAUGAAGGGAUUAAUGAAUACUUCAGUACUCACCUAAUGACUUGUGAAUUUGUCUAAUAAAUUUUUAACUGUUUCCAAAAGGAGAGGAUUAAGAGUUGUGAUCAUGGAAGUGUUGGAACACGUAGCCUUACCCUUUCUACAACUUGGGUUUGCCUUUAUUCAAGGCAGAAACAAAUCCAUUUGACUCAUGCAUGAAGAACAAGAACAUGAUUCAAAACACUAACGUGGCCAUACUGACCUACACUACCCUAAAUAGUCCAAUUCCCCAAAAGUAGGAAUUAGCUUUCGAUGACUCCUUUAGGGAUGGUAAUGAGUACUUGAUUAUAGGAUACUUGUGAGUAUCCGAUCCGAUUAUAUAAAAUUAAGAUAUCUUAUAAUACAAGUUUAUAAAUAAAUAAAUAAAUUUAUAGUUAAUAUUAAAUUAUUAUGAUUAUGAUUUGUUUACGUAUAUAUAAUAAAUUAAUAUAUUUUAAAUAUAUUAUUAAUUAAAUUUACUAUUAAUUCGUCAUGAUAUAUAUAAAAAAUAUUUUUUAUAUAUUAAUAUAUAUAAAAUAAUUUAAUUUUUUAAAUGAAUUGAUCUAAAAGUUUUAAAAUCGAAAAUCGAUCAAAAAUUUAAUUGAAUUAAAUUUUUUGACUAAACAACUCAAUAGAUCAAUUACAUUGAACUAUUUUACUUAAAUUACAUUUAAUUUAAAUGAUUAAUUACUCGGAUUUGAUUUUAAUCACUUCUGAAUUUCGUACAAAGGGAUGCCCCGGAGGAAAGGCUCAAUGAUUACAGUAACAGCAGUAGGCAACCAUCUUUACCCGUCACUUAUAAAUAAUUUCGACACGUGGCAUCAUAAUACACCGACCGCCACAUAUGCAUAUGACGUGGCCCCUCAAAAUUCACGAGGAAAUAGCCGCAGCUCCACCCGAAGGUGGAGUUGACAUGCGCCAAAACUUAAAAUGUCAAAGAAAGCGUACAGACAUAAAGCGAGUUUGGUCGUUUCUCAGAUAUAUGCUAACCUGUGUGAAAAUGUUGAAUGAAUAAAUGAGCACUGUCUUCAAGCUGGCUGUUUCCUGUUCACUUUUUGGUUGUCUGUUUUACUUUCAGUUCCGGGUCCAACUGGUAUUCCAUUUAGAAGAUUGUUCAAGCUUCUAAGCUCCAAGAUUUCUGCUUCUUUACUUACCAGGAGUCUUCCUGGCAACUGGCAAGUUAGUGUUAGUUCACAUUUUCCAUCUUUGUAUCAUCACAUUUCACUUUUAUUUUGCUUAGUUUAACAAAUGAUUUAUAGCUAGAGCUUGGUUUGUUGAUUCUUUGUGCUAGGGUCAGAGCUCCAGUGGAUUUUUCAUUGCCAUGUUCCAAAUUUGCUAUCUUCUUGCUUCUUUCUUAUGUUUGAAAAGAUAGGUGAGAGAGAGAGUUUGAACACAAUAAUUCAACACAAUAUUUCAAAGUUACUGUGUAAGAGUUGAUUUGAAAGUUUGGUAGCCAGCUAGCUACUAAUAAUUGGGAGAUGUUGCUGGUGAAGAUGUAUUUCGAUGGUUGAACUGGGAUUUUUAGUCUGAAACUCAUUUUAUCUUCUUAAUGCACCUUGGUUACUGUCUAUGGUGGGUUUCAAAAGUUAAGUUUACAACUUCCAACAGUAGUGUGUGCUUUAAGAAAUGUGUCAAUGGUAGCUAUUUGUUGUUUGUUCCCUGAUUCUGCAGAUAAAAUUUCUAUUCUGUUUAGAUGAUUGACAUCUCAAGAGAAGUGACUGUUACUUGUGUGAUGCUAAACCAAACAAUUUUCAAGUUGGUUAAUUCGCACCUUGCUUUGCAGAAAUAAAUGGCAUAUGAUCUGGGCAUAGCAUUUUACAUCACCAUAUGCUGCAUUGCCUUUAUUAUAUCGAAGAUCAUUCUUUGGAUUCUCCUUUAUAAGCGAUGGAAAAGAAAGACGAUGAUUUAUGAGGAAGGUUUCUCAGGUAUUGAACCUUCUAAAUGAUGACUUUUUUUUCCUAUAAUUUGACUUCUGAUGGAGGCAAAAAUGAUGCUUUUCCAACUUGGUAGCUUCUGGCAUAUGCAUGAAUGCAGGAGGGAAGAUGGUGAUGUUUAGGUCUCCAGUGUUGCAGUCUGUCUCAUCUGAUGUGUUGUUAAAGAAGACAUUGAAGUUAAGCAACAAAGACAUCAUUGGUGCUGGAGGGUAUGGUACAGUUUACAAAUUAAUUAUAAGUGAUACCAUGGCCUUUUCCGUGAAAAGGCUAAAUAGAGGAACUGAAGAUAGAGAUAAAGGAUUUGAGAGAGAAUUGGAAGCAAUGGGGGAUAUCAAGCACCGCAACAUUGUAACUCUGUACGGAUACUACAGCGCCCCUCACUACAAUCUUCUGAUAUAUGAGCUAAUGCCUAAUGGAAGUUUGGAUGCUUUUCUGCGUGGUAUGCACAUUUUUUCUUCAAAUACUAGGUUUAUCUUCAAGUUUUCAGCAUCCAUAUUUGUCAAAGUUAAGAGGGUCGAUAAUUUUUCUUAUUUUUUUGAAGAAAAGAGGGCAAAAUUUCAAAACUAUCAAAAUUCCAGAAUGUUGGAUUUUGUUGGAAGUUCAAAGAUCAGACUUGAUGCCCGAAGCAGAAGAUCAAAAGUUGCUGAUAGAUUAAUCUGUGAUGCAGGGAAAUCAAUGGACAGUAAGGUUUUGGAUUGGCCAACAAGAUAUAAAAUAGCAUUAGGUGCUGCAAGAGGAAUAGCAUACCUUCACCAUGAUUGUAUCCCCCAUAUAAUCCACAGAGAUAUCAAGUCAAGCAAUAUAUUACUGGAUCAGAACAUGGACGCUCGAGUCUCAGAUUUCGGACUUGCCACAUUGAUGGAGCCAGACAAGACUCAUGUUUCAACAUUUGUGGCUGGAACCUUUGGAUAUUUAGCCCCAGGUACGACGAACAAAAUUACAGUCAUUCUUUUCAUCUAGUUUUUGACUGUUUAACAACUAAACUUUGUUCUUCUGCAGAAUAUUUUGAUACAGGAAGAGCAACAGCAAAGGGCGAUGUUUACAGCUUUGGAGUUGUUUUACUAGAGCUUUUAACAGGAAAAAAGCCAACAGAUGAAGCGUUUCUGGAGGAGGGAACAAAACUUGUUACAUGGGUAAGUUCUCCAAUAUCAUGAACAUUUAAUUUGACAUAAUUGUCCAUUACUUGAUAAUGCCUACCUCCAUUUAAAUGUCCAAUAAACUGGUGAAAUUAUCUCUUCCAGUCAUUGGUUAAAAAGAGUUCAUAAAAUUCUUGUUAUUUUUAUCUGUAUGCUAUUCAUCAGAGGCAUUUUCUUCUGUGUCAACUGUCAAGUACAUAUUGGCUAAAGAUUCAUAGAAAAUAGUUGGAAGAGUUUCUGAUGUUCUGUUUCAUUACCAUCUUGAACAGGUAAAGGGAGUUGUUGAAGAAAGGAGGGAAGAAUAUGUGCUUGACAGUAGCUUAGGUUCUUGUCCCGUGGAUGAGAUUAACAAUGCUUUCAAUGUAGCAUUAAUGUGCCUUGAAACAGAACAAACUGUCUUACAUACCUCUCCUGAUUUCCUCAACUUUGUCACUGAAAAGCAAGAGUGCUUUUUAAAUAAUAUCAUGCAUAAUUUUGUUGAUUUUAUAAUUUCAUAUAGGGUUAGAAAAUUACAAUUUGGAUUAAAUAAGAAUUCAUAAUCGAUACAUUGGGUCUAUUACUUUUAUAAGCUAUUUUUAUAGAUUACAACUAGGUAGUCAAAUCAUUAAAAUUAACAUUUAUUAAAUGAAGAUAAAAAAAUAAAUAAGGAAGCAAGCUGUUAUUUGAGAUCAUUCAGCCUAACAUAUAUGCCUGUUUCAUCCGAGCAUUUCAUGCAUGAAUACUUUUCAUUUUUUAAUGAAAGUAGUAAUACAAUAUUUAUAUUGCUCUACAACUCUUACGUAAAUAAACCAAUAUUUUCAUUGACAGAAAUAUUACAUUUGGUUAUUUUUCUACAUUUCUAUUUCUUAAUUCUUUUAUUGGAUUAUUAUUCAAUGCAUAGCAGUUUAUAUAUCUAUAUAUAUAUAUAUUAUAUUAUUUUAUUUUAUUUUAAAAAAUAAUUAUUUAAUUAUUAAAUAAACAUACAAAAAUUUUAAACUUACCUGUAGAAUUAAAAAAAUUCACAAUCAAUAUACAAAAUAAUAAUCUAUUUUUUCAUAAAACCAAACAAACUCAUCAUUUUAAUUUUUUCAUUCUCUUUUUUUUUUUUUUUUUGCUGUAUUUUUAUACUUGUAGGUUUACUCACAUUUUUCAGGUACUUAAAUUUAUUUAUCAUAUGAAUAAUUUUAAAACGUUUUUUAUUAGAAAAUAAAUAUAGCUAGGGUUUGGGAAAGUAAGAGGCAAGCAGCAUGGUUUAGGAAAGAUAGCAACCAAAAAAAAUAUUAUCUGGCUUAGGGUAUCCUCGAAAUCUACCUAAAGCCAAGUUGAGUAUUAAAAAGUUUAUUCAAACUCUAUUCAUUACCGAAUAGAGGGUAUCCCAAUCUUAUGUUAUCAAGUCAAAUACGUGUGGAUACUAUAUAAUAGUUACCUGUUACAUCCUAAGUUAGACUUCACAAUUUCUUUAGGAAACAAUUUGUUGUAUGUACUUGUACCAAAAAGAAUAAACAAGCUAUUUUACUAUAAAUAACAAUAGGACCACUACAGCAAAAUAGAAAACUAAAAAAAGGGAAAAUUGAGAAUAUCAAUAAUUAAAUAAGCUUUGAUUGAUUUAUUUGAUAAUAAUGAAAUCUGUCAAUACCAAAAGGCUGAAAUUAAGUAAGGAAAUGCUUCAUUUGAAGGAGAGAGUAAGGAAAGAAGAAGCCAGGAAAGCCCUGGAAAGAUGUAGCAAAAUUAAGAGAGCAAUGAAUGAAGGGAUUAAUGAAUACUUCAGUAGUCACCUAAUGACUUGUGAAUUUGUCUACUAAAUUUUUAAUUGUUUCCAAAAGGAGAGGAGUAAUAGUUGUGAUGCAAGUGUUGGAACACAUAGCCUUACUCUUUCUUCAACUUGGUUUUGCCUUUAUUCACUGCAGAAACAAAUCCAUUUCGCUCAUGCAUGCAGAACAAGAACAUGAUUCAAAACACUAACAUGGCUAUACUGACCUUCACCACCCUAAAUAGUCCAAUUCCCCCAAAGAAGAAGAAUCCUUUAUAGCAUGUUUGGUUGGGGGAAUGGCUAAGCCAUUCCCCCUUUAUUCCCAAGGAAUUUUUAUUCCUUUGUUUGGUUGAAAAAUAAUCCAAGGAAUAGCCAUUCCUAUGGAAUGACUAUUCUUAAAAAUCCUUCAAAACCAAGGAAUAGCUAAUACCAUCCUCUCCCAUGGUAUUAGCUAUUCCAUGAUUGAGGAAUAAAUUUAAAAAUUAAUAAAGACAAAAAUACCCCUUACAAGUUUGAAAAUUUACAACUUUAUUAGUAUAAAAUAUUAUUUUUCUCUCUCUUCUCUUUCUCUCACUUGAUUUCAAUUUUUAAUAAAAUAUUAAUUUUUUUAAAAUAUUAAUAUUAAAUUAUAAUAAAUAUUAAUAUUUAAAAUUAAUNNNNNNNNNNNNNNNNNNNNNNNNNNNNNNNNNNNNNNNNNNNNNNNNNNNNNNNNNNNNNNNNNNNNNNNNNNNNNNNNNNNNNNNNNNNNNNNNNNNNNNNNNNNNNNNNNNNNNNNNNNNNNNNNNNNNNNNNNNNNNNNNNNNNNNNNNNNNNNNNNNNNNNNNNNNNNNNNNNNNNNNNNNNNNNNNNNNNNNNNNNNNNNNNNNNNNNNNNNNNNNNNNNNNNNNNNNNNNNNNNNNNNNNNNNNNNNNNNNNNNNNNNNNNNNNNNNNNNNNNNNNNNNNNNNNNNNNNNNNNNNNNNNNNNNNNNNNNNNNNNNNNNNNNNNNNNNNNNNNNNNNNNNNNNNNNNNNNNNNNNNNNNNNNNNNNNNNNNNNNNNNUAAAUAAAAUAUUAAUAUUUUUAAAAAUAAAUAAAUAUUAAUAUUGAAAUUAUCAAUUAUUAAUAUUUUAAAUAAAUUAUCAAUUAUUAAUAUUUUAAAAAUAAAAUAAAAUAAAAAAUUAAUCAUAAUAAUAUUUAAAUUAAAUAAAUGUUAAUAUUUAAAUGAUUUAUUAUUAAUAUUUUAAUUAAAUUCUAGAUUAUUAAUAUUUAAAAAAUCUAAUAAAAUAAAAUGUCAUAUAAAUAAUAAAGGAUGUUUUUGUCUUUUUAUUUUCUAUUCUUUUCUUAUUCCCAAAUUAUUGUUACCAACCAAACACUACAAUAAGUCAUAAUAAUUAUUCCUGUUCUAUUCUUUUUGUCAUACCAAACUAAGUAAUAACUAUUCUAUUCUAUUCCCACCUCAUUCAAUUCCCACAUAAUAACUAUUCUAUUCCAUUCCUGUCUAUUUCGCCAAUCAAACGUACCAUUAGAGUUCGAUGACUGCUUUAUUGAAAGUAGGAAUUUGCUUUCGGUUACUCAUGGCCAGUUUUUUCCUUGUCUUUUUCGAUCGGAACUGCUGCCUCCAACAAACUACAUGGGGUCUUUCUUCGAAAGAGAAUUCGACGACUCCAAGUCAAUACCCAACUCAAUUAUUAAGCUACCCUCACAAACUUCUUUAACCUUCACACAACAAAAAUACAUCUCUUUUCCACGUACUUCAAUCUCCAUUUUGAUUUCUCUCUUUCUUGCUUGAGCAUAACAAUCAUGUCUUUUGUUUGGGAGGCUGCUCUCACAGCUUUCUUUGAUGUGUUGUUUGGCAAGUUAUCCUCUUCUGAUUUCCUCGACUUUGUCACUAAAAAGCAGGUCCGCAAGGAGCUCAACGAGUGGGAAACGAUGCUGCGGGAUAUCCGUGCCGUGCUUGAUGAUGCAGAGGGGAAGCAGAUGAAGGAUCAGUCUGUGAAGAACUGGUUGGCCGAGCUUCAAGACUUGGCUUACGAUGUUGAUGACAUUUUGGACGAGUUUGCCACUGAAGCUUUAGGGCGCAAGCUGACAUCCUUGGAGGAACCUCAAGGCAUCAAAAAUAAGGUACAAAAGAUCAUUCCUACUCGUUUAUUCUUUCCAAAAACUUUCAUGUUUAAUAAGAAGAUGAUACACAAGAUUAAAGAGAUCAGUGCUAGAAUGAAUCGUUUGGCCACAAAAAGAACUCACUUGGGAUUGGGAGGCAUUAAUGAGGGAGCAAGGCCCAACAUAAUGACACAAAGUCAGCCUACUUCUGUGGUGGAUGAAACUAAGGUGUACGGCAGGCAAGAAGAAAAGGCAGCAUUACUUGAAUUGCUUUUGAGCAAUGAUGGCACUGGCAAUGAAGCUUCUGUGAUUCCCAUCAUUGGCAUGGGAGGAAUUGGCAAGACAACUCUUGCACAACUUCUCUACAAUGAUACUCGUAUAGAGAAUUCUUUCGAGUACAAGGCGUGGGUAUGCGUUUCCGAAGAUUUUGAUGCCGUUAGCAUAACAAAGAGAAUUCUACGGUCAAUCAAUCGUGGUUGUUGUACCGAUGAUAAUGAUCUCAAUUUACUUCAAGUUGAGUUGAAGAAGAUGCUGGCUGGGAAAAAGCUUUUGCUUGUCCUGGAUGAUAUCUGGAACGAGAAUUAUCUGGAGUUGACCAACCUACUUUCUCCAUUUGGAGUUGGAACCAAAAUUCUCGUCACAACACGGAGUCACAAUGUUUCUUCUAUUAUGGGCACUGUUAAAGCUUACCCACUACAACAGUUAUCAGAGGAGGAUUGUCUAUCUGUAUUUACUCGACAUGCAUUAAGAGCAAAUGAUUUUAGUGGGCAUCCUGAAUUAAAAGAAGUUGGGGAAAUUAUAGUGAAAAAGUGCAAAGGCUUACCUUUGGCAGCUAAAGCCAUUGGUGGUUUACUACGCACUAGCCUGGACUAUGAGGCAUGGAAAGGUAUAUCAGAGAGUGAGAUAUGGGGCAUACCAGAAGAGAAAUGCAGCAUAAUUCCAGCUCUACGAUUGAGCUAUCAUCAUCUUCCUUCACAUUUGAAGCGAUGCUUCACAUAUUGCUCUAUACUCCCUAAAGAUUAUGAAUUUGGGGAGGAAGAGAUAACCUUGUUAUGGGCAGCAGAAGGUUUUCUACAGGGAGCAAGCCCUAAAACUGAAAUUGAUGACCUAGGUCGUCAAUAUUUUCGAGAUCUAGUAUCAAGGUCAUUUUUUCAAACAUCUACUAGAAACAAAUCUCGAUUUGUAAUGCAUGACCUUGUCAAUGAUCUAGCUCAAUCGGUUGCAGGAGACAUAUGCUCCAAAUUGGAGGAUGAUAAGCAAAUGAGAUUUUCAAAACGUACCCGACAUUCAUCUUAUAUUAGUGGCCGAUACGACGGAAUGAAAAAGUUUGAAGCCUUUGAUCAAAUGAAGCAUCUACGUACCUUUCUAUCAUUGUUGGGGUUGUCGUGGACACGUGAAGUUGAUUGUUAUUUAAGUAAUAAUAUCCUCACUGAUUUAUUGCCCAAACUUAGAUACUUAAGAGUUCUUUCUCUGAAAGGGUAUUGGAAUAUUGAGUUACCAAAUCUUUUUCAAGAGUUAAGACAUUUGCGUCAUCUAGAUUUUUCUUAUUCUAAAAUUAAAAGUCUACCUGAUUCAAUAUGCACCCUUUAUAAUCUAGAAACCUUAUUAUUACAUGGGUGUUACAAUCUUGAAAACCUACCGUCAAAUCUACAAUUUCUAGUCAACUUGAGUGUUCUCGACAUCACUUGUGCAAUUUCAAUGAACAAGAUGCCGUUUGAAAUUGGUACCUUAACCAAUCUUCGAAGACUAUCUGAUUUUGUUUUGGGCAAAGGUGAUGGACAUCAAAUACAAGAGAUGAAGAAUUUGUUAAAUCUCAAGGGUAAGCUUUGUAUCUCAGGGUUAGAGAACGUUGUUAAAGCUCAGGACGCAUGGGAGGCUAAGUUGAUUGAUAAGUCAAGCCUUGAGACAUUAGAACUAAAGUGGAAUACAGAAUUUGAUAAUAAUAGAAACAAAGAAGUCGAAGAAGAGGUGUUGAAUUUGCUUGAACCUCACAAAAAGCUUGAAAAGCUCUUCAUUCAGAAUUAUGGUGGUACAAAAUUUCCAAUUUGGAUGAAUUCUUUAUUACAAAAUUUAUCGUCUUUGGUUCUCAAGGGCUGUAAAAAUUGUGUAUCACUGCCAUCACUUGGAAAAUUACCAUUGCUGAAGAAUCUUUCUAUUGCUGGAAUGGAUGAGUUAAAUAAAGUUGGCAUUGAGUUCUACGGGGAGAAUCACUCAAAUGCAUUUUCCUUGUUACAGAGUUUGCGCUUUGAGAAUAUGCCAAGAUGGAAGGAAUGGGACUUGGUUGAUGAACAAGUUGGGAAAUUCCCUAGCCUCAUCGAGCUUUCCGUCAUAAACUGCCCUCAAUUGUUGGGAAGGUUGCCUAACCAGCUUCGUUCCUUAGAGAAGCUUGAAAUUCAUGAGUGUGCACAAAUGGUGGUUUCACUUUCAGACCUUCCAAAGCUGUCCGAAUUAGAAAUAGAUGAGUGUGCAGAGUUGGUGCUUACAGAUGAUGCAGACUUUCCUUCACUAAAAAAAGUCGAUCUUUCAAAUGUUGUAAAGUUUUCUACUCCAACAGAAAGGCUGGUAUCAACAUCAACAACAUUGGAGUACUGUGGGAUUUAUAAUUGCAAGGGAUUGACAUAUUUAUCGAUAAAGAAGUUGGGACUAUUGAGAUGUGUUCGUAAAUUGGAAAUUUUAAAAUGUCCACAACUUGUACUGUUAGAGCCAGAUGAGUUAGAGGAGGCAGAAGAGGAGCUGUUUCAAAUUGGAAAUCUUUGCAAUAUUGAAUCUUUGAUAAUAUGGGAAAAUGAUCUCAAUAUGGAAUCAUUGAGAAUAAGAAAGCAUUUUCUCGCAUUUGUUACAGAGAUGGGAAUUGACGACUGCCCAAACAUAGUUUGUUUUGCAAAGAACAACUUACCCCCGCUUUUGAAAAAGUUAAGGAUUGAAAGUUGCGACAAUUUACGAUGUUUGGUGGAUGAAGGAGAAAAUAUAAGCAUCAAUAACAUAUCUCCUCUUGAGCUGUUGGAAAUUGUGGGUUGUCCGUCUCUACUAUCAUUAAGCAUCAGUAACAUAUCUCUUCUUCAGCAUCUGCGAAUUAAAGUGUGUCGGUCUCUAAGAUCAGUAAGCAUCAGCAACAUAUCUCCUCCUCUUAAGCAUUUGGAAAUUAGAGACUGUGGGUCUCUAAUAUCAUUAAGCAUCAGUAACAUUUCUCUUCUUGCGCAUUUGAAUAUUGCAAAUUCUCCAUCUUUAAUAUCAUUAUCAUUACCUGAUACGCUUCAACAUCUUAGACUUGGGUACUGCCCAAAGCUAGCUUCCUUAUCAGAAAGUGGCAAGUUACCCAUAGGGCUUAAACAGCUUGACCUUUCUAGCUGCCCAGAGCUCGAAUCCAUUGCAGAAGCAAUUGACAAAAACACUUGUCUUGAAUCUAUUGGGAUCCGGGGGUGUGGUAUUAAAUCUUUACCGCAAGGAUUUGACAAGCUCAACCAUCUUCAGAGUAUUACAAUUCGUAAAUGUUCAAAUCUAGUCUCGUUGGAAGGGUUUUUGCCCACCACCAAUUUGACUAACCUUUGGAUCUCUAAUUGUGAAAAUUUGCGAGCCCUGCCCAAUUGCAUGCACAACCUCACCUCGCUUCAAGAAUUGGUGGUUGAUAAUUAUUUUUCAGGAGAUCAGAUAUCCAUUCCAGAAGGGGGCAUCUCUAACAAUGUGACAUCACUUACAAUCUCAGUACCAAGAAAUUAUGAGUUUCUACUUGAAUGGGGAUUGCAUAAACUCAGCUCUCUUAAAACACUUACCGUUACUGGUAGAGGAUGUCCGAAUAUGGUGGCGUUUCCCCCAGAGGAGAUAGGAAUGAUGCUGCCUUCCUCUCUCAUCAAAUUGAACAUUCACGCUUUCAAAAAUUUGAAAAGCCUAUCCUCUAAAGGCUUUCGAAACCUCACCUCUCUUCAUCAUUUGUACAUCUUCUCUUGCCCUAAGCUCACAUCUCUUCCUGAAAAAGACACGCUUCUUUCGCUUUUGGAGUUUCGCGCUAAGUAUUGUCCAUUGUUAGAGGAAAAGUACAAAAAGAACAAAAGACGAGAGUGGUCCAAGAUAGCCCACAUACCUUGCAUUAGUAUUAAUGAGAGGUGGUAAAGUAGAAGUCAACUAUGAAAGUCACAGGUAUGAAACCAUUUGAAACGUACGAAAAUUUAGAAGCUUCUUAUUUUUAACAACAAAAUGAAACUAAUUAUAAUAUUAUUUUUGUCAUCGUUGAUUAUUUGCAAGCAAUUUAAAAGCUUUGGAAGGUAACUUGGCGAGAAACUUGCUUCUCACUUUCAUCAAAAAUGGCAAAAUCAGUGUGUAAAUUUGAAUGAUUGGUUAGUAGUCUCAUGCUCAUACAACUUCAACAGUCUUGGAAUAGGGCAUUUCAAAAGAUCAUUUCAUGGAAAAGGGUGGACCCACAUCGGUUUUCUUGGGCCUUGUACGUUGAUUUCGUUUUCUUUUCUGACCUAUGAAAGUACCGCAGAUGUUGAUGAAUGGAGCGGUCAGUUAAUUCUCUACAACUUCAUCUACAUUUUUAGUGUUUGAUCGAUUUGAUAUUCUAAUAAAAUACUAUUGAGAUUUCUUCAUUUCUAUUAUGAUGAAUUUGGUGUAUUUUUUACAAAUUCAAACUCUGCCAAUUCUACUUUACUUGCCUAUACCUGGAGUACAUCCUUUAUUAUAUUCUUAUAAUUUCACAUCAUUCUCAUUUGAUCUGUCUCAUAUAAUUUCCCAUACUCCAUUCUAUCUUACUUUUUCUAAUUUGUUGGAGAAACUGCUUUAUAAAGAAAAGAAAAGAGAGAAAAGGAAUAGAAGAUCACAUAUGUAGGUUACGUGCUCUAUUGAAUUCGUUAAGAAACUUUAAUUUUCUGUUAGAUUUCCAUUAUUACUUUUGAUCUUUGAUAUUAACAUGUUUAAGUCACUGUUCUGUGUGGAGGUGGAUAGACUAACAUCUCGUAGCCCUUCAUUGAUUAUACCUUUCUAGUUUCAGCUGUAUAGAAGAGAUAGGCAAUGUUGCUUACUUUUUGUACCUUGCUCGUUCUCAGGGAUUUGCCAAUCUGCGAUUGUCUUAAUUUUGCAAUCCUUCUGUAAAAGUACUCGCUCUCUCACCUUUCCAACUAUCUAUUGCUUACUGUCCUCUGGUAAGUUCACAGUGCAAAAGCAAAUGAAGGAUGGUGCAGGUGAAGAUCGCCUGCAUGCCUUAUGCUUGUGUCCAUAACAGAUUACUCAUUAUCAGAGAAUAGAUAUAUCACAUCCCAUUCAGGCUUUAACACAGGGUAUGUAAAUUAGAAAUUUUCUUAUAUCUUUUUCUCUAAAAGAAAUUCAAAUAAUUGAUUAAAUUUUGAAUGAUAACAAAGUGUUCAUUUAAUUGUGCAUGCAGAAACCUGAACAAGAAUCUGACGAAGGGAAGAAUGAAUUCUGGCCUCCAAAGGUAAUUUGUUGACCUAAUAAUCAAUACAAUUAAGUGGUGAGAUGUCAUUAGGCAACAAUGAAACAAUCCCUCCUAAGUAAACCAUUUUAUGCAUAACUUUUAAAAGUUUGUGUUGGAACACUCUCUAACCUUCAUUCUCAACUUUCAGAUUAUCUAGGUACUUAGGGAUGCAUUUGAUGUGCACUUAAAAAAAGGGAAAGGAUUGCAAAUAGAAAUUUUAGUACUGCUGUAGUGGCCAUUGUCACAUACCAGUGAAAACCAAAACUUUACUUGACUUCAUACGCAUCCUGCAAUUUAGACACCUUGCCAUUAAAGCGAUGUCAUGAGUUAGAAAAGUUACCCUGAAAAAUAGAAAUUCUAGUCAAAUUGCAUCAUCUUGACAUUAGUCAUACAAAUUCAGUGAAAGCAAUGCCCUUUGGAAUUGGUACACUAACCAAUCUUUAAAAACUGUCUAAUUUUGUUUUAGGUGAAGGUGGCGGAUAUCCGAUAUGAGAGAUGAAGAAUUUGUCGAAUCUCAAGGGUGAGAUUUCUAUUUCAAGAUCAGGGAACAUUGUUAAAGCUCAAGAUGCAUGGGAAGCUAAGCUGAUUGAUGCUCAGGCCUCAAUGAGUUAGAGGUGGAGUUCAACUUUUGAUAACAAUGCAAGAAAUAAAGAAGUUGAAGAAGUGGUUUUCAACUAGUUGAAUUAUGGCUGUCUUGGCUGCAUUGCUGCCACAGGGGAUUACUUCUACACAUUUGGAAACCAGCUUGGUUGGAUUCAGGGUCAGUUUACUUUCUGCUUACCAUAUGUUUGAUUAUUUUCCUUUGGUCAUUUGUGCGCUUGCUUAGUUUGUGUUUCUUAGUUAUGUUUGACUUUUUUAAUCUUUCACCAUACCUUAUAAUGACAGUUUAUGCCACAUUAGUUGAAAUAUUUUAUGUUUAGUUUAUUUUUAAAAGCAAUGUAUCAGAUGGUGGGAGCAGUUGAAGAUAUUUUUGGUCACUGUCCUGAUUAUAUAAAUAUGUAUUCUCUUAAUGAAAAGUGAUGUAUGAAGAGUUAAAGUUCUGGCAUUUUUUGAGUUUUGUUUUUCUUCUUUGUUUUCCAGCAAAAUUUGGUCUCUUCAUCGAGAGUUUAGUCUGCAGAUCUUUAAGUUUUUUUUCUAUCCAACAGAAACCAAAGAUAACAUUUCUUUUAUCUCUGUCUGCCCAUACUCCAUACCAAGGAUAACACUUGUUUUUCUCUGUCUGUCCACACAAAACCAAGAAUAACACCUCAUUUUCUUGGUACAAAAUCUUCCAAAAUUUACAGCAGCAGAAACUAAAGUUUUUGCUUCUACCUUCUGCUGCUUCUCCUUGGGUAGCCUUGGACAAGUAAUGUGAGUAGCCACUAAAGCCAAGAGAACUUUCUUGCUCGUCAUAAAGAGCUAAAAGCUCACCGUAAAAAAUUAUGGGACUACCAAAUUUCCAACUUGGAUAGUAGAUUCUUCAUUACAAAAUUUGUUGUCCUUGAAUCUCUUGCAUUGUAAAAUUGCAGAUCAUAGCAGCAAUUGGAAAAUUAUCACUGUCGGAAUGUCUUUGCUUUGAAGGAAUGGCUGGGGUGAAUAACGUUGGUGUUGAGGUCUACGGAGAUAAUCAAUCAGAUGCAUUUUCAACAUUAGGAAGUUAGAGCUUUGUGAAUCUGCCAGAAUGGAAGGAAUGAGGCUUCUGUGCAGUUGAUGAUCUGGUUGUGAAAUUCCCCAAUGUCUGCAUUCUUUCUAUCAUUAACUGCCUCAAUUGUCAGGAAGGUUGUCUAACUGUCUUGAUGUCCUAAAACUACUUGAAAUUCGCAGGUGCCUGCCGUUGGUUAUUUCAAUUUCUCAGUUUCCAAUGCUGGUGUUAUUAGAUGUAGGUUGGUGUCAAGAGUUGGUGCUCAGAGGUUAUGUUAACAUUAAAUCAAUGGAUAUAGUCAAUCUUUCAAAUAUUUUAAAAUUUUGUACUCUGGCAGAGAGGCCGAUGUCAGGAUUUACAAAUUUGGAAUGUUGGAUGAUUGAUAGUUGCAAGGAACGUACAUGUCUAACAUAAAAGGAAUUGGGAUCACUUGGGAGCCGAAUGUCUCUCACUUGGCUCAGAAUUUUGAAUUGUUCACAACUUUUACUUGUGUCAUUACAGCCAGAGGAAGCAGAAGAGGAACAUUUGCAACUUGACAGGAUUUGCAAGUUUGAAUGUCCAACUAUUAUGAAAUGUGAACUUCAAAGGCUACCAAAGGUCUUGCAUUUGGUCACGUUCUUUGCAGAUAUACAGAUUGCUAGUGGCAAAAGAAUGGUUUCUGUUUUAAAGAAUAACCUGCCUUCAACUUGAAGAAGAUUGAGGAUUAAAGAUUGCAAGAAUUUAUAAUGUUUGGUGGAUGAAGAAGAAGAUACUAGCACAACUUCACCUCACUUAAGGCAGUGAUGUUUGUUGGCUAUUCAGCUAACAUAUCCUUUCCAAAAAAGGAUUUCCCUACCAACCUAACAUCACUUAACAAUGGAGCACCAAUAUUUGUAGGUCACUACUUCAAUGGGGAUUACAUAGACUCAGCUCUUUCAAAAAAACUGUUCAUUAAUGGUGAAGAAUGUUAAGAUGUGGUGUUGUUUCUGCAAGAGGAGAUAGGAAUGAUGCUGCCUUCCCCUCUCAGCGAUGUCACAAUAAGUGACUUCAAAAACCUGAAAUUGCUAUCCUCCGAGGGCUUUCAAAACCUCACGUCUCUUCAGUCUUUAGAGAUCAGUGAUUGCUCUAAGCUCACAUCCCUUCUAGAAAAAGACAUGCUUCUCUCGCUUUGCCAUCUUCAGAUUGAUGAUUGUCCUUUGCUAGAAGAACGGUGCAAAAGGGAUAAAGGACAUUCCUUAUGUCCAAAUCAAUAAGGAACAAAAUUAUCCCAAAGAAGUUGAAAUCUUGAAAUUGAAAGUCAAAAGGUGUUAACCAUUUGAAAGAUAAGCCAGAUAAUUGAAUUCUGAUUAUUUAUGCAUUUAAUUUUUUUAGAUAUAUAAAGAUAAUAGUAUUUUUAAUAUGUUAUUGUUGAUAAUUAAUUUACAGCCACAUUUGAGGCUUGAAAGCAACAAAGUGCGGUUGGUAUAUAUAGCUCUAUUGAAAGAUCAGGUACAAGCUUCUCAUUUUUUUCCAUUUCACUUGCACUUCAACAUAGCAUGCUCAACAAUCUGCAACAUUUAACCAUAAAAACACUUAUGCUCCUCUAACUUCAGGUAUCUCUAAACAGCUCUGGGUGUGAAUUUGUUGAUUCGUCAUGUUGACUUAUGAAACUGAUUAAAAAGAUCAAGGAUGAAAGGUGAGUUGAUUUUCCUCUGCUUUUAUAUGUCAUGUACAUUGAAGAAUUGAAAAGCAAUUAUUAAAAUAUAUACGCAGUUUCAUGGACAAAAUUGUGUUUUAAUUUUUGAAAAGUUAUAUAUAUACUUACCUUGUGAAAGCGCUAGUUGUUCAUACAGAAGCAUAAUUGUUUUGAUUUCAGGAGAUUGCUCCUUUGUUAAAGAAAAUUUAAGUCUCUCUCUCCUUUUCUAUGUUAUCAAUUUUCUCUGCAAGUGAUUACUUUAAACCAUGCCAAUUAUGCUUCCCUUGAGUAUGUUGAACAGUGAAUUACUUUCGUUUCCUUUAGUUUUUUAAUGUUCAUGUUUAGUUCUUUGCUUUCUGAGUUUAUUGAGAGAAUGUAGAGGAAGAGAAUAAAUUUCAUCGAUAAAAUUCUAAUUUUGUGUUGGAUAUUCCAUCUCAGAGGAGUGUGUCCCCGCCAACUAAAUGUUACUUCGGAUCUCUGCUGCUAAAAUCUGUAUACCAUUAUCGCAUUGGGGAGUGCACAUACAAAUCUGUUGUGGACUUUCCCAUUGGUGGUAAUGAUGCCGCCGGCCACCUUUCAAACUUUCCUUGUCAUCAAGAAGUCCCCUAAUUUGGAAUACCAGCACUGCAAGAGCUUUCAGAACCUCUCUUGCUCAAAGGUUUUUAUACUUAAUUGCCUUAAUCUAUAAAAAGGGAAUUAAAGAUGAAGUGGUUAAAAGAUAGCUCCUGUGCCUCAUGUAUUAAUAACAGAUUACUUAUAAGCCAAAAGAGGAGCAGUGAAAACUAGUUGUUUUUCAUAGAAAAGGAGCAAAAAAAGCAGAAUAUACCAUGCUUGUAAUUCAAUCCUAGGUAUGUCAAUGGGAAAAUCCUCUCUUCUUUUCCUCUUUGAACAAUUAUUUAAAACUUGUAUGAUCACCAAGUUUGAUAUACUUGUACAUACAGAAGUCUGAACAUGAUUAUGAAACACCAGGGAUGAAUUCAACCUCCAGUUCUAAUAUAUCGGCCAUAAAAUCAAUGCAAUGCAGAGGUGAGCUUUUAUAUAUUGGACUAUGUUAAGAUAACAUGCCUCACCAAUGGAAACAAUCCCUCCUUCUAAAUGAUUUAUGCAUGUAUAAUUCUAUUUUCGUAUUGAAUUUCCAUUAGCAGUCACAUAAUAAUGUUUCCACACCCACCGAAUAUUACUUAUUAGGCACAGAAGGGAAACGGUGAGAAUCAGAGAAAAUACCAUGCUUGUAGAUAAAUGGUAUGUCAAUUGGAAAAUACUCCCUUUUGUUUUACACUUCGAUAAUAAUUAAUUAAAGUUUUUAUGCUAACCAAGUUUUAGUCUAGUUGUACAUGCAGAAAUUUGAGCAUCAGUAGGCACCAAGGAUGAAAUUUAACCUCCAGUUGUAAUCUUUUGACUAUAUAAUCAAUUCAAAGAAGAGGUAAGCUUUAUAAGGCUACCUUAAGAUAAUAUGCCUGAGCAAGGAACAUCCCUUAUGCUAAAUAACCUUAUGCGUAUCUUUGGAGCUAUUAGUUACUCAUCUUCAUUCUCAAUAGUGUGACCCUCAUUUGCAAUAGGUUUAAGUAGAUGAUCUCUUAUUGAAAUUACAUUGCAUUUCUCAAGUAAUGUGUAGAAUUAUUUUUUCACACAACAGUUGUACAACUUGGCACACUGAGAUUCAAAGAGCUUAUGUAACAGCUUGCAUGGCUCUUUAUGCCAAGCUUUUUCUGCUUCUAAUAUUACACAUUUACGAUAUCCUGCAUGCUGGUUUUUCAGCCUUCAGCACUAAUCUCUCUAUGUCAAUCCCAGUGAAUCUUAAAUGCCUCCAAAUGAGGUAACAAGUGUCACUAGUGGCCGCACCAAUGUUAACAUACAUUAUUGCGACAUGUCAUCACCAAAGGAGCGAUCCAUGUCAUUGAGAGUCAAGAUUAUCUUUUCUAACACUAUGAAUCAGUUGGGUAAGAGCAACUUCUUAAAAAUUUGCUCUUCAUUUAUCAUUUCUCUUUUGCAAAGAAACUUCUUCAAUUUCAUCAGUAGUAUUAUCACCGAUAGAUUCAUACUAAUCCCCUAUAAAUUUUAUAGAUAGACUUUGUAAUGUGCCAUAAACUAGUUGAGCUUCAGUUUUCUUUUUCUUUUUCAUGAUUAUGCUAUAAAAAGUUUGUAUACUAUGGUAUUGGAACCUAAGGAUUAAUUUUCUUGUGCUUUUGAAUUGAGAUUAUGAGAUGUAUAAUAGAUUCAAGCUCAAUGUUAAUCUCUUUUUCCUAGUCUUCGUCCUUUCUCCAUUAUCUUCUUCUUUGGCAAAUAAAGAGAUCCAACAAAUUUCAAUGCAGGAAAUAAACUGAAUUUUUAUGGCUAUCAUCUGAUGGAUGUUAAGCCAUAAGCUUCCAUGCAUUGCAGCAUGAUCAGGCCUUACAUCUUGUUUUGUCACUGAUAGCAAUCUAACUUCUCUGUCACUGGGCUGUGGCCAUGCUUAAAAUUUCUGCAGAUCAAAACACUUAUUUCCUUUUAUUGGAUAUGUAUAGUGCAUGCCUUCAUUUUGUAUAAUCAGUAAUGUUCUUUGGCUUUUCAGAAGGUGCUUGUCUGUGUCAUCCCUGUGCCAAAAAGGAGUGUUACAAUGGUAGAAGAUAGUUUUGAUGCAAGAUGUUCUACAAAUGUUUUACCUCUGUUGGUGCCUCAUCCGUAGUCCCACGUAAGUCUCAUGAAUGGCUGGGAAUAGCUAGGUUAUUUUAUUGUUUUUUUACUAGAAUGGCAACAUGAUGUCAUUGCCUUGCCCCUGAGGGUUCCACAUUCUGAAGCCCUCCCUUCAUGAAACUUCAUGCAAAGUAUCACUGGUGCAUAAAAGAUAUUAAAAAUAUUAUAAAUGUUUGUGUAAAUUGUUUGACCAGGUGUCACAACCAAAGAAGCUGAACAUCAAGUUUCCAACUAGUUAGUGUCAAUUUUUUUAUAUUGCUAGUUAUUCUGUUUUUUCUUCUUGGUAUGUUAUAUACAUUCAUUAAUAUUGGGAAUUUGGACCUAUGCAUUCUUUCAACCUGAUAUUUUACUGUAAAAGAAAUGCCAAUAUUGUACAAAGAAAAUAGGAUUAAGUUUAUAUCAUGAGCAUGGAUAACGGAUGUGGGCGUGAUAACUUGUCAAGUCACCAUUAUAAAAUUCUUGAAAGCAUUGUGAUUUGCGACCAUGCUGCCAUUGUUGGCAUUUUUGUUACUGUGGAUUAUGGUGAUGAUUAAACUCAUAAUUAUGGCAAUUUUUUCUAACAGGGUGCUCGUUAUCCAUCAUUUUAUGAAGCAAUUGAUGGUUUGUGCAACAGCUACUGAGGCAAGAGUAAAGUAGAAUGGAUUGUUGUGACAAAUUAUGACCUGGCAUUACCAUGAAGUUUUCUACGGCACUAAUUCAUGGGAUAUAAAAGGCUGAUGAAGUCUCUAGGUCACUUGUACCUACUUUCCCUACAUUAUUUUUGUUAUACAUUCUUUUAGGGAAAUGAAAAGGGGGGUAAGAGGGGGGAUGCUAAUUGGUAUGUCAAUAAAGUUUUUCACUGUUUGCUAAAGGAUACUUAUUUGUAUUCAGGUGAUGUGUCCUAACCAGGUAAUGGUUAUGCAAUCAGGGAGCUAAUCUCUAGGAUCAAAACACAGAAAUUCUAUUAUAGCCUCCUGGUGAGAUUUUGGCUUUGCUAUAUGAUUUUUACUUCAUCGUUUCAUAUAAUAGUUCACACAUAUCUGUCUUAUUUCUAAAGCAUAUCUCCAAUUAUAUUUACUUGCAUCUAGUUGAUGUCAGCAGAAUUUUAGAACUCAUCUUGAGUUUCAAAAAUGUACUAGUUUUAACUAUGUCUGACCAUAUACAAUAAAUAAUGAGAUAGCAUACUAGGGGAUUCUGGGAAGAGUGAAGUAUACUUUAGAUAUAUUUAUUAUUGUUGUCAUCAAAUGUCUGAAAAUAUUUGAAUUUUUCACUUUUUGUUUAUAGCUCCUGAGAAAAGGAAAUGAGUGCCAAUAGUAAAAUCACCACAUAUUUGCAGAACCUGAGGUCUCCCAAUUGGGAAGGUGGGCAACACCUCACUUCAGUUCCCUUUCUAUAUAUAACUGUUAAUUAAAUUUUAAUUUUAAUACUUGAAAAUGCAGAAUGAUAAGAAGUUAUUAACCUUUCUUGGGAAGUAGAUUGAAUUCUGCUUUGGGUAUGUAGGUAUCAUUUGUGUGCUUUUUGCUGCCACUGCCACCACUGCUGCUGCUACUUUCCCUUUUUUUCUUAGGUUACUCAGGUCUCUCUUAUUUUGCUAUGUACUGUAAUUGUACGUAAUCGAUGCAUUACAUCAUAAGUCCGGGAAGAGUCAUGUCUAAAAUGUAACCACAAGAAUAUUUUGGUGAUGGCAGGUUCAGAUACUCAGGUUCAAAUUUCAAUUUUCUUGCAGUUCUGGUGCAAGUUACUUUCUCCGAUGAUGCUAUUCUGGUCUCAUCCCCUCAGCAUAAGAUUCCUUUUGCAAUGCUUGUGGGCUUUUUCUGGAUUACUCUGGUGGUUUGCAUCCUAUUCUACUGCUUCUCCAUUGCUAGUAAGAUAAGAGGCUGGCUUUAAUGCGAAAAGGAGGUGGGUGGAUGAGAUUAUUUUUCUUUGUAGGCUUUGUUCUCUGCAUUGGCGUAGAGCUUUGGCUGAUGGCAUCUUGUUUUCGGACUAAGAUUCUGUGACUUGCUCCCCUUCCUUCUCCAGCAACAUCUCUGGGGACCUGCUGGCUGCGGUUGAGUGUUAAGAAAAUCCUCUGGCUCUAUUCUAGCUUUGUUUUCUGGCCAAAUUGGUGUGUUAGACUAAUAUUGCUGAAAUAUAAUACUAUAUU
This 42561-nucleotide long non-coding RNA is filed under the name Theobroma cacao (cacao). RNAcentral's name for it is "long non-coding RNA (TCAC_LNC004333)". The record is from RNAcentral. Lineage: Eukaryota; Viridiplantae; Streptophyta; Magnoliopsida; Malvales; Malvaceae.